ACACGACUACAUUAGAUACCCGUGUAGUCCUAGCCGUAAACGAUACUCGCUAGGUGUCGGCCACGGUGCGACCGUUGUCGGUGCCGUAGGGAAGCCGUGAAGCGAGCCACCUGGGAAGUACGGCCGCAAGGCUGAAACUUAAAGGAAUUGGCGGGGAGCACCGCAACGGGAGGAGCGUGCGGUUUAAUUGGAUUCAACACCGUAAACUCACCAGGGAAGACUGUUACAUGAAGGCCGAGAUGAAGACUCUGCUAGAUUUUCAG
Molecule: ribosomal RNA, 263 nt
Filed under: uncultured archaeon
Lineage: Archaea
Description: partial 16S ribosomal RNA
Rfam family: Archaeal small subunit ribosomal RNA
Source: RNAcentral